CCUUCCCCAAAUCUUCCCCCUACCCCGAUCCCCCAAACGUCUGGUCUCCCAGAACUUUGGAGAUUCUCCCUUGCUUUGUCCCCCCCCCCCCAACACGCUGGGGAACAGGCGAAGUUGAGAGAGGUAGCCCUCGGGGAGGCACUCAUUCAUUCACCGGGUGGAUGGCUGCGGAGCGCGGGCCAGCCGGACCAGGCGGCCGCCAGAAGGAAGGAAGAGUCGCCAGCAGAUCCCAGGCUCUGGCCGUGGAGUCCCGCAACUGCUCGCUGAUGGACCGCCUGAGCUGCGUUGGGAAGGGCUUCCGUUUGCUGGUCAUUUUAGAUCCGUCCUCAUAACGACCAGCGAGCGGGCUCGCCACCGCCACUCCCGCGUGGCCCGCAACUCAGACUCCCGGAGACCCGAGACGCCCGGAGCGGGACUCCCGCUGGGGUCCCGGGACCCGCCGCGGGCGCGACAUGGGUCCGCCGCCGUCCCGCGCUGGGGGCUCCUCCGCGCGCGCGGGCCGAGAUGCGCCGCCCGCCCCGAGCCGAGCAAGUUUCAGAAGCCACCACCAUCACCACCACCGUAACACAAAUUUUAAACUAUGCCACAGCUGGUGCCAUUAUAACUCAUCAGAGUUUUCCUGAACUCAAGUCACUUGACGUCAGCUAUUCAGUUUGGCUAACAUUCUUCUGGAGUUGGAUACGGGUGUUCUCGGGUUUUACGUUAAUCUCUCCUCAUUUCAUCAAUGAAAUGAUUAUCUGGCUGCAACCAGCAAUCAAAUUAAGUGAUUUAAAAAGUCAAGGGACGCCUGGGCGGCUCAGCCGGUUGAGGGUCCGACUUCAGCUCAGGUCAUGAUCUCGCGGU
Lynx canadensis (Canada lynx) is the source of this 843-nucleotide long non-coding RNA. RefSeq lists it as uncharacterized. The transcript has 3 exons. Lineage: Eukaryota; Metazoa; Chordata; Mammalia; Carnivora; Felidae. The record is from RefSeq and is a predicted model, not a curated record.